GUAGUCAUAUGCUUGUCUCAAAGAUUAAGCCAUGCAAGUCUAAGUUUAAGCACAUAAACGGCGAAACUGCGAAUGGCUCAUUAAAUCAGUUAUCGUAUAUUUGAUAGUACCUACUACAUGGAUAACCGUGGUAAUUCUAGAGCUAAUACAUGCUUAAAAUCCCGACUUCGGAAGGGAUGUAUUUAUUAGAUUAAAAACCAAUGCCCUUCGGGGCUCACUGGUGAUUCAUAAUAACUUCUCGAAUCGCAUGGCCUUGUGCCGGCGAUGGUUCAUUCAAAUUUCUGCCCUAUCAACUUUCGACGGCUGGGUAUUGGCCAGCCGUGGUUACAACGGGUAACGGAGGGUUAGGGCUUGACCCCGGAGAAGGAGCCUGAGAAACGGCUACUACAUCCAAGGAAGGCAGCAGGCGCGCAAAUUACCCAAUCCCGAUACGGGGAGGUAGUGACAAUAAAUACUGAUACAGGGCUCUUUUGGGUCUUGUAAUUGGAAUGAGUACAAUUUAAAUCCCUUAACGAGGAACAAUUGGAGGGCAAGUCUGGUGCCAGCAGCCGCGGUAAUUCCAGCUCCAAUAGCGUAUAUUAAAGUUGUUGCAGUUAAAAAGCUCGUAGUUGAACCUUGGGCCUGGCUGGCCGGUCUGCCUCACCGCAUGCACUGGUCCGGCCGGGCCUUUCCCUCUGGGGACCCGCAUGCUAUUCAUUUAGCGUGCCGGGGAACCAGGACUUUUACUGUGAAAAAAUUAGAGUGUUCAAAGCAGGCCUAUGCUCGAAUACAUUAGCAUGGAAUAAUAGAAUAGACGUUUGGUUCUAUUUUGUUGGUUU
Molecule: ribosomal RNA, 818 nt
Filed under: Gnomoniaceae sp. E99291
Lineage: Eukaryota; Fungi; Ascomycota; Sordariomycetes; Diaporthales; Gnomoniaceae
Description: SSU rRNA
Rfam family: Eukaryotic small subunit ribosomal RNA
Source: RNAcentral